This 318-nucleotide ribosomal RNA is filed under the name uncultured bacterium. Its description in RNAcentral is "bacterial SSU rRNA". It matches the Rfam family "Bacterial small subunit ribosomal RNA", at positions 30 to 349 of the family's 1533-position model. The record is from RNAcentral.
AUUGAACGCUGGCGGCAUGCCUUACACAUGCAAGUCGAACGGCAGCACGGGAGCAAUCCUGGUGGCGAGUGGCGAACGGGUGAGUAAUAUAUCGGAACGUGCCCAGUCGUGGGGGAUAACGUAGCGAAAGCUACGCUAAUACCGCAUACGAUCUAUGGAUGAAAGCGGGGAUCGCAAGACCUCGCGCGAAUUGGAGCGGCCGAUAUCAGAUUAGGUAGUUGGUGGGUAAAAGCCUACCAAGCCUUCGAUCUGUAGCUGGUCUGAGAGGACGACCAGCCACACUGGAACUGAGACACGGUCCAGACUCCUACGGGAGGC